This 385-nucleotide ribosomal RNA is filed under the name uncultured bacterium. RNAcentral describes it as "bacterial SSU rRNA". It matches the Rfam family "Bacterial small subunit ribosomal RNA", at positions 30 to 417 of the family's 1533-position model. The record is from RNAcentral.
AUUGAACGCUGGCGGCAUGCCUUACACAUGCAAGUCGAACGGCAGCGCGGGGCAACCUGGCGGCGAGUGGCGAACGGGUGAGUAAUAUAUCGGAACAUACCCUAGAGUGGGGAUAACGUAGCGAAGUUACGCUAAUACCGCAUACGCACUAAGGUGGAAAGUGGGGGAUUCGCAAGAACCUCAUGCUCAUGGAGUGGCCGAUAUCUGAUUAGCUAGUUGGUGAGGUAAAGGCUCACCAAGGCAACGAUCAGUAGCUGGUUUGAGAGAACGACCAGCCACACUGGAACUGAGACACGGUCCAGACUCCUACGGAGGCAGCAGUGGGGAAUUUUGGGACAAUGGGGGCAACCCUGAUCCAGCAAUGCCGCGUGAGUGAAGAAGGCCU